GCGGGCGUGGUGGAAUGGUAGACACGUUGGUCUUAGAAGCCAAUGCUUUCAAGCGUGAAGGUUCAAGUCCUUUCGCCCGCACCA
This 84-nucleotide transfer RNA is filed under the name Alphaproteobacteria bacterium. RNAcentral's name for it is "tRNA-Leu". It matches the Rfam family "tRNA". Rfam says of the family: Transfer RNA (tRNA) molecules are approximately 80 nucleotides in length. Their secondary structure includes four short double-helical elements and three loops (D, anti-codon, and T loops). The record is from RNAcentral. Lineage: Bacteria; Pseudomonadati; Pseudomonadota; Alphaproteobacteria.